GACCCCAUCGUCUAGUCAGGUCCAGGACAUCAGGUUUUCAUCCUGAAAACACGGGUUCGAAUCCCGUUGGGGUCA
This 75-nucleotide transfer RNA is filed under the name Planctomycetota bacterium. RNAcentral's name for it is "tRNA-Glu". It matches the Rfam family "tRNA". Rfam says of the family: Transfer RNA (tRNA) molecules are approximately 80 nucleotides in length. Their secondary structure includes four short double-helical elements and three loops (D, anti-codon, and T loops). Lineage: Bacteria; Pseudomonadati; Planctomycetota. The record is from RNAcentral. RNAcentral also lists the same sequence under 1 other name.